GGAUUCCCCUAGUAACGGCGAGUGAAGCGGGAUGAGCUCAAAUUUAAAAUCUGGCUGGUUUACUAGUCCGAAUUGUAGUUUAAAGAAGCGUUUUCGGUGGCAGCCUGGGUAUAAAUCCUUUGGAACAGGGUAUCAUAGAGGGUGAGAAUCCCGUCUUUGACUCAGUGCAUGCUACUAUGUGAUACGUUUUCAAAGAGUCGAGUUGUUUGGGAAUGCAGCUCAAAAUGGGUGGUAAAUUUCAUCUAAAGCUAAAUAUUGGCGAGAGACCGAUAGCGAACAAGUACCGUGAGGGAAAGAUGAAAAGAACUUUGAAAAGAGAGUUAAACAGUGCGUGAAAUUGUUGAAAGGGAAACGCUUGACACCAGUCAUGCGAGCGGAAAAUCAGUCUUUUGCAGUGGGGAGUUGUGUGGGUUCGGACCGCAAGGCCGGCCUGCGCUGCAUCUCUGCUGUAAGUGAUGCACUUUUUCGUUUGCAGGCCAACAUCAGUUUCUUCUGCUGGACAAAACUCUUGAGAAGGUGGCAGCUUAGGCUGUGUUAUAGCUCUUGAGCGAUACAGUGGAGGGGACUGAGGUUUUCGCAGCGCGUGCUCUCGGGCAAGGCUGAUUGGGUGCUAUGGGAUCGUUCGGUGUACAAUGCAUGCAUUUUGCGCCGUGUCUUUUCUAUACUCGCUCAACUCGGCUCUUCCGCGCUUAGGAUGUUGGCUUAAUGGUUUUAAUCGACCCGUCUUGAAACACGGACC
RNAcentral lists this ribosomal RNA (739 nucleotides) under Mortierella alpina. RNAcentral describes it as "eukaryotic LSU rRNA". It matches the Rfam family "Eukaryotic large subunit ribosomal RNA", at positions 72 to 667 of the family's 3401-position model. The record is from RNAcentral. Lineage: Eukaryota; Fungi; Mortierellomycota; Mortierellomycetes; Mortierellales; Mortierellaceae.